CAGGAGUGCCUGACUUCCUGAUGGCUUAAAGAGAAAUAAAGAAUGACCUUUGGGACAUUGGAAAACAAGGAGCAAAAAUCAUCUGUCCACUCUCCCCAUUGUGAAAGACCUUAAGAAAAGGGUAUGGUUGUUGCAAUGCUGGAAAAGUUCCAUCAGCCCGCCAAAUGAGGGUCUGUCCCACAGGCUUGAGAUGCCUCUGCAGUCCCCACACUAAGGGACCACCUGGUGACAAGCAGAAAAAUGGACUGUUGAACGGCAUGCAAACGCUGGAGGAUUUUCCUCAACGAUGUACCUGAAAGACAAUUCAAUGGACCCUGGAGUGGGAUGGCAGAUACAUCAUCAUCUGCAAUUGUUCGGUCAAUGUGGCAGCCACUCGCCACAUGUGGCUAUUGAACACUUGAGAUGUGGUUAGACUGAAUGGAGAUGUGCAGUUCAUUUCCCUUGCAAUAUGGUUUCCGUGGUGGAUGCUGUCAUCUCUCUGAUGUGCCACUGAGGUCUCCUUCAAGAUGCCAUGAGGGCAGUCAGCAGUCAGCACUCCAUUGCAGACCCCUUCAGGAAUUAUCUUAACUGAAUAAAGCCACCUGGUUCAAGGACACAACGCCUUCUCAAGGUGGUCCACAUUUAAGUGAUUUAUUGACAUGAGGACUCAGCCCAUCCCUCUUGUCCUAACUUGGUAGAGUUUUAAGAAGUCGUUCUACCUCCAGAACUGCCACAGAGUCACCUGAGGUUCCAGCUGAGAAGGCAUUGCAGCUCAACCUCUCGCUCUCCCAAAUCCUGCUGUCUUUUCUCUCCCAGGCGUUGGUCUUAAGAACACACCCUAACAAACCCCCUAACUGCUAAUUCUCUUCUGAUUGGCUUCUAGAGAAAACCAAUCUGUGACAGUCUCUAACACCUGAAUCUAAUGUAGCACAGGAUCCUCUUAUAAUAGCCUA
Molecule: long non-coding RNA, 932 nt
Organism: Rhinopithecus roxellana (golden snub-nosed monkey)
Lineage: Eukaryota; Metazoa; Chordata; Mammalia; Primates; Cercopithecidae
Exons: 4
Source: RefSeq, a predicted model, not a curated record